Molecule: ribosomal RNA, 253 nt
Filed under: uncultured bacterium
Lineage: Bacteria
Description: partial 16S ribosomal RNA
Rfam family: Bacterial small subunit ribosomal RNA
Source: RNAcentral
UACGGAGGAUCCAAGCGUUAUCCGGAUUCAUUGGGUUUAAAGGGUCCGCAGGCGGAAUUAUAAGUCAGUGGUGAAAGCCGACAGCUUAACUGUCGAACUGCCAUUGAUACUGGAGAUCUUGAGUACAAAUGAAGUAGGCGGAAUGAGUCAUGUAGCGGUGAAAUGCAUAGAUAUUACAUAGAAUACCAAUUGCGAAGGCAGUCUACUACGAAUGUACUGACGCUGAUGGACGAAAGCGUGGGUAGCGAACAGG